Pteropus alecto (black flying fox) is the source of this 119-nucleotide non-coding RNA. The record is from Rfam. NCBI's taxonomy places the organism in Eukaryota, Metazoa, Chordata, Mammalia, Chiroptera, Pteropodidae.
AAAAUUUGUUUUGUGUCUAUGGCCAUGCCCGAUCCCAUCUGAACUCAGAAGCUAAGCAGAGUCGGGCCUGGUUAGUACUUGGAUGAGAGACCAUCUAGGAAGACCAGCUGCUAUAGGUG